GAAUUAAAAUCACAUCUAUGGGUUGGUGGGGUUAGAAAUAAAUUGACUCUGUACGUUGUUGGGUGUAUUUGAUGUGUUGGUGCCAUUUUUUUUUACAUUAAAAUUCCUUCUAUACAAGGUUACCUUUCUUCACAACAAAAUGGAUAUGUUGGAAGGGCAUCACUCCUAUAGGUGGCCCCCUAAUUACAAAGUGCCUUCCCCCUGUCCCAUAUAUGAUUCCCUGGAUCAGAAGGGCUGGUCAGCUUAUGCCAUGGCUUGGUGUCCGUCAUCCUCCAACAUUUGUUUCAAAUCGCUACUAGUCAAAAGUCUUCAAUAGAUUUUGAGCCAAAUAUGGUCAGAAACAUCCUUAGGGGAAGGGGAACAGAUUUUGCAUAAAUGGUGACUCUGAUCCCCCUGAGGCAAGAGGAGCGGGGCCCAAUAGAAGUAAAUAGAUGAACACAAACAUGUUGUAAAAAGAAUCUGCUUCUCAUAAUCCAAAUAAGGUAGAAUAAAAUACUCUUCAUAGAUAGAAGGAUGUUAAGGUGCUUUACCAUUAUUGUAUUUUGAAUUGUAAAUUUCAUGACCCUGGGAUCUCGCAUCCACCCCUGUGCACGGUAAACUUUGUGAUAGUUUAUUUAUGGGGAAAUCGUAUUUUUGACUAGCAUUUGUUAAGUUUCUAUUUGAAUUCGUUUUAACUUGGUUAGAAUUUUCAGUAUGGAAUGGCAGUUUGAUGGUAUGGUUGAUGACCUUGGGGGUCUUACGUGACCCAAGGAAUGGCAGUUUGAUGGUAUGGUUGAUGACCUUUGGGGUCUUACGUGACCCAAGGAAUGGCAGUUUGAUGGUAUGGUUGAUGGCCUUGGGGGUCUUACGUGACCCAAGGAAUGGCAGUUUGAUGGUAUGGUUGAUGGCCUUGGGGGUCUUACGUGACCCAAGGAAUGGCAGUUUGAUGGUAUGGUUGAUGACCUUGGGGGUCUUACGUGACCCAAGGAAUGGCAGUUUGAUGGUAUGGUUGAUGACCUUGGGGGUCUUACGUGACCCAAGGAAUGGCAGUUUGAUGGUAUGGUUGAUGACCUUGGGGGUCUUACGUGACCCAAAGGUGCUGAUGGGCGGGGCCUGAACGUGUCACAUGAUUGAAAUAUUUUUAUAACUCGUCCAGUGCUCAUUAGGGCCAAUGGACAAUAAUAUGACAUUAUUGUCCAUACAAUGACGUCGUCUUCAAUUUCUUACUGGUGUAAGCAAUGACAAAUGCUCCAGGGUAUAUAUAAUACACAGUUAACAUAUAUAUAUGCAAGACUAUUGUAUGGCUGAAUACAGUGGAUAAUAGGCUGAUUAUGUGAUAACUGUGUUAAAUCUCUAUAGAUAUCACCUGGCAGAGUUGUGAAUGGAUGUAAGUUUGUAUCAUUUUGAUUGUGGUGGCGUAUCUUCAUGGAAAGAGCCAGGGAAUGAAAAAGACAUCAUUUCACAAUUCAUAAUCAUCAGAAUGACAAAAUUAUGUUUUGAUAAAGGUUUUCAAAUAUACCUUAGUUAUGUGAUAAACAGAAUCUUAGUAUGGUUUUUAUUUCACAUGAAAGUAAUGACACUCUAUACCAGUGUUUAAUUUAACCUCACCAGGUGCUUAGUAAAUGAACAAUUUAGACUCGUAUCAAUAAUCUCAUAUAAAACGAAACUCGUGUGACUGGUGGUAUUAUUCCUGUGCAAUAUGAAGAUUGUUUUGUUGUACUGUUAUCACAGACAGAUUACUGUAAUAUUUUGUAAUAUUGAUGACAAUUCAAAUGUAAAUAUUGUUAUCUGUUAACAAUAGGUGCUUGUCUGUUGACCAAUUAAUAAGCUGGUAUGUUGGUGUUCAUGGUUUCAUUGGAAAGGAGAAUUUGGUCAGAAUUGAGAUAUAUAUAUAUAUAGCUGGGGUAGCUAGUCAUUUUCAUUACAGUUUUCCACACUGUGAAAGGUUUUCACAGUUAUGAACAAACUGCGGAGUUGUUAAUUUUAAAAUUGUAUUUGUUCAUGGUUUUUAAUCAAUGAAAAUGUAAUCAAUGCAAAUUACACAUGUUUUACAUAUAAGAAAAUUUCUUAGAUAGUUCUGAUGCUAAGUUUCUCCAUUUUACAGCUGGGAUCAAGACCAAACAAAAAGGAAACGUGACAUUAGCAUGUAUAUUAAUAGACUAACUUUGUAUAUAAUGUUAUAGUUUUAAGCAUUUUUAAACCUUAUCCUUUUGUACAGAGAUCGAGAUUUUAGCUAUCUAUCAAAAUCAAAUGAUGAGAUGGUUGAAUGUGUUUUUACACUGCCUGAUUAUUCUAACACCUUAUGUGAUUGUGUUUCAAGUAUUUCCAUGCUUUGAAAUUAAAUAAGCCCACCUGUGUUUAUUGCAUUUACCAGAUGUAGUGAAACUGUGAAUAUUUCAUUGUCCUGCAAUGACCUUGUCCCUUACUUUUGAUUCAAAUGUAAUGUGUAAUGCUUUCACAUGUAUUCAAAGGACCACAGAUUAUCUCCAAGAAAAUGUUCUCUUUCAUUAAGUAUUUAAUUAGGUAUACAUAGUGAAACAUGGAAAUUAUCUCCAUGAAAAUUCUCUCGUUUAAUUAGGUAUUCGAAGUGAAAUGUAGAGAUUAUCUCCAUGAAAAUUAUCUCUUUAAUUAGGUAUACAUAGUGAAAGGCAGAGAUUAUCUUCAUGAACAUUUUCUCUCAAGGUAUACCUAGUGAAAUGUAGAGAUUAUCUCUAUGAAAAUUAUCUCUUCAUUUAGGUAUACAUAGUGAAAGGCAGGGAUUAUCUUCAUGAAAAUUCUCUCUCAAGGUAUACCUAGUGAAAUGUAGAGAUUAUCUCCGUCAAAAUUAUCUCUUCAUUUAGGUAUACAUAGUGAAAUGUAGAGAUUAUCGUCAUGAAAAUUUUCUCUCAAGGUAUACCUAGUGAAAUGUAGAGAUUAUCUCCGUCAAAAUUAUCUCUUCAUUUAGGUAUACAUAGUGAAAUGUAGAGAUUAUCGUCAUGAAAAUUUUCUCUCAAGGUAUACCUAGUGAAAUGUAGAGAUUAUCUCCGUCAAAAUUCUCUCUUCAUUUAGGUAUACAUAGUGAAAGGCAGGGAUUAUCUUCAUGAAAAUUCUCUCUCAAAGUAUACAUGUAUAUAGUGAAUUGUAGAGAUUAUCUCCGUCAAAAUUAUCUCUUCAUUUAGGUAUACAUAGUGAAAUGUAGAGAUUAUCGUCAUGAAAAUUUUCUCUCAAGGUAUACCUAGUGAAAUGUAGAGAUUAUCUCCGUCAAAAUUAUCUCUUCAUUUAGGUAUACAUAGUGAAAUGUAGAGAUUAUCGUGAUGAAAAUUUUCUCUCAAGGUAUACCUAGUGAAAUGUAGAGAUUAUCUCCGUCAAAAUUAUCUCUUCAUUUAGGUAUACAUAGUGAAAGGCAGGGAUUAUCUUCAUGAAAAUUCUCUCUCAAAGUAUACAUGUAUAUAGUGAAUUGUAGAGAUUAUCUCCGUCAAAAUUAUCUCUUCAUUUAGGUAUACAUAGUGAAAUGUAGAGAUUAUCGUCAUGAAAAUUUUCUCUCAAGGUAUACCUAGUGAAAUGUAGAGAUUAUCUCUAUGAAAAUUAUCUCUUCAUUUAGGUAUACAUAGUGAAAGGCAGGGAUUAUCUUCAUGAAAAUUCUCUCUCAAAGUAUACAUGUAUAUAGUGAAUUGUAGAGAUUAUCUCCGUCAAAAUUAUCUCUUCAUUUAGGUAUACAUAGUGAAAUGUAGAGAUUAUCGUCAUGAAAAUUUUCUCUCAAGGUAUACCUAGUGAAAUGUAGAGAUUAUCUCCGUCAAAAUUAUCUCUUCAUUUAGGUAUACAUAGUGAAAUGUAGAGAUUAUCGUCAUGAAAAUUUUCUCUCAAGGUAUACCUAGUGAAAUGUAGAGAUUAUCUCCGUCAAAAUUAUCUCUUCAUUUAGGUAUACAUAGUGAAAUGUAGAGAUUAUCGUCAUGAACAUUCCCUGAAGGUAUACAUGGUGAAAUGUAGAGAUUAUCUUCAUGAAAAUUCUCUCUCAAGGUAUACAUGUAUAUAGUUAAUUGUAGAGAUUAUCUUCACGAAAAUUCUCUCUUAAGGUAUCCAUAGUGAAUUGUAGAGAUUAUCUCUAUGAAAAUUUUCUCUAAAGGUAUAAUUGUACAUAGUGAAUUAUAGAGAUUAUCUCCAUGAAAAUUUUCUCUUAAGGUAUACAUAUUGAAAAUUCUCUCUUGGGUAUACGUAUAUAGUGAAAUGUAGAGUACAAUGUAUAUAUCUAUGAAAAUUAAAUAUAACCUGUUAGCAUCGCUACGGAAAUUUAAUUAUAAUUAUUAUAGUAUCUCUAGGAAAAUUUGAUUAAAAUCUGAUUGCUAUCUCUUUAGUAUCUAUGAAAAUCUGAUAAUAUAUAGUAUCACUGUUGUAUUAUAAUAACAUGCUCUAUUGAUACAAAUGGUGGUUGAGUAACAUCUUUGCCUUCAAUUAAAUGCCUUUAGCUUAUCAGAUAAAUGUCCUGUUCUGGAUCCGGACUCCACACUGUUUUUUACUGGUCCCAUUUUAAUCUAUGCGCCAGUAUAUGUAAGGGAAAAUGAAUAAAUGUUCCUGUUGUUUAGCUGUU
Long non-coding RNA from Pecten maximus, 4543 nucleotides. RefSeq lists it as uncharacterized. NCBI's taxonomy places the organism in Eukaryota, Metazoa, Mollusca, Bivalvia, Pectinida, Pectinidae. The record is from RefSeq and is a predicted model, not a curated record. The transcript has 2 exons.